RNAcentral lists this ribosomal RNA (1009 nucleotides) under Myxobolus sp. AKPSC.2022.2. RNAcentral describes it as "SSU rRNA". It matches the Rfam family "Eukaryotic small subunit ribosomal RNA", at positions 395 to 1296 of the family's 1831-position model. Lineage: Eukaryota; Metazoa; Cnidaria; Myxozoa; Bivalvulida; Myxobolidae. The record is from RNAcentral.
CGUGAGAAAGGGCUACACAUUCCAGGAGGCACAGCGCGCCAAUAUCCAUCUAGACAGUAGGAGGUGGUGAAGAGAAUUACUAAGUGGUGGUCCAAUGGAUCACUUGUUUGGAAUGAACGUAACUUAAGAAAUUCGAUGAGAAACAACUGGAGGGCAAGUCCUGGUGCCAGCAGCCGCGGUAAUUCCAGCUCCAGUAGUGCUUUAAAGUUGUUGCGUUUAAAACGCUCGUAGUUGGAUCAUGCAGCAGUGUUGAGUAAUCUUUAGGGUAGCGUGAGCCAUGCGAUUCGUCUCGUACGGUCCGCGGUUCAGCUCCCUUUAGAUGUCAACGCUCAGCACUGCUAGUUGCACGUGAGAUAGAUUGUUGGCCUUGAAUGCGCCGAUAUUCUCGUCUUGCGGAGUGUGCCUUGAAUAAAACAGAGUGCUUAAAGCAGGUCGUUGCCUGAAUGUUAUAGCAUGGAACGAACAAUCGUGUAUAUGUGCGCGUCUUUGGACGGUGAUAGAUCUUUGGUCUGUUGUUGUUUGAGAUGUGCACGGCACCCACCAAAAUAUGGCUGUUGGUUCCAUUUACGGUGAUGAUUAAAAGGAGCGGUUGGGGGGAUCGGUAUUUGGCCGCGAGAGGUGAAAUUUUUAGACCGGCCAAGGACUAACAAAUGCAAAGGCACUUGUUUAGACCGUUUCCCUUAAUCAAGAACGAAAGUGGGAGGUUUGAAGACGAUCAGAAACCGUCAUAGUUCCCCCCGUAAACUAUGCCGACCUGGGAUCAGCUUGGAGAUGUUACAAGCUCCAAGUUGGUCCCCCUGGGAAACCUAAAGUUUUUUGGUUACGGGGAGAGUAUGGUCGCAAGGCUGAAAAUUAAAGGAAUUGACGGAAGGGCCCCCCCCGGGGUGGAGCCUGCGGGUUAAUUUGACUCAACCCGGGGAAACUUACCUGGUCCGGACAUCGAUAGGAUUAUCAGAUCCAUAGCUUUUAUAUGAUUCGAUGAGUGGCUGGGUGCCAUGGCUCGUUCUUA